RNAcentral lists this ribosomal RNA (358 nucleotides) under uncultured bacterium. RNAcentral's name for it is "bacterial SSU rRNA". It matches the Rfam family "Bacterial small subunit ribosomal RNA", at positions 8 to 370 of the family's 1533-position model. The record is from RNAcentral.
AGAGUUUGAUCCUGGCUCAGAUUGAACGCUGGCGGCAUGCCUUACACAUGCAAGUCGAACGGUAACAGGUCUUCGGAUGCUGACGAGUGGCGAACGGGUGAGUAAUACAUCGGAACGUGCCCGAGAGUGGGGGAUAACGAGGCGAAAGCUUUGCUAAUACCGCAUACGAUCUCAGGAUGAAAGCAGGGGACCGCAAGGCCUUGCGCUCACGGAGCGGCCGAUGGCAGAUUAGGUAGUUGGUGGGAUAAAAGCUUACCAAGCCGACGAUCUGUAGCUGGUCUGAGAGGACGACCAGCCACACUGGGACUGAGACACGGCCCAGACUCCUACGGGAGGCAGCAGUGGGGAAUUUUGGACA